AAUUAUCAACUCCCUUUCUUUAUUGAAGGGUGAGCUUGGACUUGGGGAUUGCUGGUGCAAAUUGGCUUCCCUUGAAUGUAUUAGCUGGAAUUUGAUUCGCAGCAUAUAUGCGGUGUGAUAAUGUCGUCACCGUGUAGCUCGGAUUGUCUGGCUUCUAAUCGUCCUUCACGGGACAAUUUGAUCU
This 184-nucleotide unclassified non-coding RNA is filed under the name Xylodon raduloides. RNAcentral describes it as "partial internal transcribed spacer 2". The record is from RNAcentral. Lineage: Eukaryota; Fungi; Basidiomycota; Agaricomycetes; Hymenochaetales; Schizoporaceae.